GGUCAUCCCUGCUACGAGCAACUGUUUCUAAACUCGCUGCCAGCGAAGAAGAAAAUGUCCUCGGGGGUCGGGCGGUGGGGUGCUGGAGCCUAUCCCAGCUGCAUUCGGGCGGUAGGCGAGGUACACUCUGGACAAGUUGCCACCUCUUCACAAGGUGUCCUACUGGAACAUGUACAGGAUGAAUGUUCGACGCUACAGUGCUGUGAUCCGCCAAUGAUGUUUGGCGCGUGCCAGCAACCUGAGGGUCCCCGGUUCGAUCCCCACCUUCUACCCACCUAAUCACGUCCGCUUUGUCCUUGGACAAGACACUUCACCCUUGCUCCUGGUGGGUCACGGUCACAACUACUGGAGCCGUGCGGGACCCUGACGGAAUCCUCGAGCCAGGAAGUGACCUCGCGGGGAUGCCAGUCUGAGCCGACAUUUUGGACCGCACAUUUCCUGGAGGACAUGAAGGCCAGGUUUGUGCGGUUCCAACCCACGGGCCUCGCUGACGGACAGAAAAAG
This is a long non-coding RNA of Entelurus aequoreus (snake pipefish), 504 nucleotides long. RefSeq lists it as uncharacterized. Lineage: Eukaryota; Metazoa; Chordata; Actinopteri; Syngnathiformes; Syngnathidae. The record is from RefSeq and is a predicted model, not a curated record. The transcript is spliced from 5 exons.